UGAUACCGCAAAUAGUAAGUCGCUCUGGAUAAGAGCGUCUGCUAAAUGACUAAAA
Non-coding RNA from Salmo salar (Atlantic salmon), 55 nucleotides. Lineage: Eukaryota; Metazoa; Chordata; Actinopteri; Salmoniformes; Salmonidae. The record is from Rfam.